GGUCUAAUAGUGUAGAGGUUAUCACACGGGAUUUUGAUAGAUUUCAUUUACUUUCCUUAACUUCCCGUAACCCAGGUUCGAGUCCUGGUUAGACCU
Non-coding RNA from Gymnopus androsaceus JB14, 96 nucleotides. The record is from the annotation of a GenBank genome assembly. NCBI's taxonomy places the organism in Eukaryota, Fungi, Basidiomycota, Agaricomycetes, Agaricales, Omphalotaceae.